AAAAGUGAAAGUUUUGAUUCUCUCACUCACACUAUAAUGAAUCAUAGCUUCCAACUUCAAGUUCAAGCCAUCAUCGCCACCUCUUUUCGCCAACGCCACUUCUCCUUUUCUUCCCGUAACACUGCCUCAAGGGUAUCAUUUUCUAGUUUUUGUUGCGGGAGAAAUUUAGAAAUGGAGGAAGUGAAGGUUGCUUCGGACUUCAUGGUGGGUGACCCUGCGUUGUUGGAGAAGAAAAUUGAUGCAAUUCGUUUGGGUGGUCCCCAGAAGCUUCAGGUGAUUGCUGAUUUUGAUGCCACGUUAACUAAGUUUGUGGUUAAUGGAAAUCGUGGUCAAACCAGUCAUGGCCUUUUGCAGCAGGGUAAUCCAGAAUAUGAUGCCAAAAGGCAGCAGUUAUAUGAAUAUUACCAUCCUUUAGAAUUUUCACCGACUAUUGGACUUGAAGAGAAAACGAAGCUCAUGGAAGAGUGGUGGGGAAAAACACAUGCUCUACUUGUUGAGGGAGGACUUACAUAUGAAUCAAUAAGGCAAUCUGUUGCUAAUGCUAACAUAGCUUUCAGGGAAGGUGUCUCUGAACUUUUUGAGUUUCUGGAGGAAAGAGACAUUCCUGUGUUAAUAUUCUCCGCAGGGCUCGCUGAUACCAUUGAAGAGGUCCUAAGGCAGAAACUUCACAGAUCCUUCAAGAAUGUGAGGAUAGUAUCCAACAGAAUGGUAUUUGAUGACAAUGGCAGCCUUGUAUCAUUUAAAGGAAAAUUGAUUCAUAGCUUAAAUAAAAAUGAGCACGCUCUUGAUAUGGCAGCACCUGUACAUGAGAGGUUUGGUGAUAUGGAUGGUCCUACUGAUGACAAUGCCUCAUUGAAGAAGAGAACCAAUGUUCUCCUUCUUGGCGAUCACCUUGGAGACUUGGGAAUGUCUGAUGGUUUGAAUUAUGAGACUCGAAUAUCCAUGGGAUUUCUGAACCACAACAUUGAGAACUCACUCAGCUGCUAUCGAGAAGCUUUUGAUGUUGUUUUUAUGAAUGAUGCAGCCAUGUGGGGAGUUAUCAAAUUGGUCUCUCGAAUGUGUUCAAGUGGUGCUUGAUUAUUUCCAGUAAUGAGAAAGAAGAAAAAAAGAGAACACGUUGCAAAGAAAAGUUAUCCGAAAAGCAUAUUUCAAUAAGCAUUUUAUGUGUUCGUUUUGAAAGCAAGAUUCUGAAAAUCCAAGGGUAGACACCAGAGACAGGUUGUUCAUGCAGAGCUGGAAAUUGGAGUGAGUGGAGUCUCAAAAACUCUUUCCACCUUCCAACAAACUACUACUAGACAAUCGUAAUUAUUAUAUGCAAAAUGACACAAAAACUAAAACUAAUGUUGUAAUGUCUUUCUUCCGCAAUGUGUGUUUCUAUGCUGAAACUUAUGUUUUUGUUAAC
Molecule: RNA transcript, 1402 nt
Organism: Vigna unguiculata (cowpea)
Lineage: Eukaryota; Viridiplantae; Streptophyta; Magnoliopsida; Fabales; Fabaceae
Gene name: 5'-nucleotidase / magnesium ion binding protein
Source: RefSeq, a predicted model, not a curated record